Molecule: long non-coding RNA, 2491 nt
Organism: Tribolium castaneum (red flour beetle)
Lineage: Eukaryota; Metazoa; Arthropoda; Insecta; Coleoptera; Tenebrionidae
Exons: 2
Source: RefSeq, a predicted model, not a curated record
GCCGCCGUCGAUCAAAGAUGGCGCUGGCCUCCAUUUUAUUUAUUUUUUUUACACUUCCCGCCAAUAGAUGGCCGACGCACACUCCCGCCCGUUUGCGAAUAUGCAACCAAGAAUACAAGUAGUAGCUUUUUGGGGUUGUGAAAUUUUGGCUUUUGGGGUUGUGAAAUUUUGAAUAUAUGAUUUUUGAAAUGUGCAAUUUUGAAUACAUGAAGUAUACCAGUGUUCUUCAACCUGUGUUCCGCGGAACCCUAGGGUUCCACCCAAAGGCUUUCGGGGUUCCGCGAGUCAUUGCUUCAAUUCGAGAGACGUCGGCCGCGCCGCUCUUCAGAAUGCACAUGCGUCAAUCGGAGUUUCAUGUUGAAACAUGUUAUCCAUUCGCAUAGUUGACUUACACUGCACUUAACCUUAAUUUUCAAAAAUAUGUAACUGUACUUGUGGUCGUAGUUUUGUUGUUGUUUUAGGUUUAGACAAGCAAAGAAUCGUUCAGAAAUAUGAUGCUGAAUUGGCUCAAAAGUGGCAAAUUGGAAUCACAAUCCCAAGAACAAUCCUCUUGCUAUCUUGAAAAUUCCAACUGUCUUCCGCCAACAUUAGACUCGACAGAUAUUAUUGGAGAAGAAAAUAAAGCGGGAACAACAAGUCGAAAAAAACGAAAAUAUGAUGAAGAUUACUUGAACUUCGGAUUUACUUGGACUGGUGAUAAAGAUGAGCCAAAUGGACUUUGCGUAAUAUGUGAGCAAGUAGUGAACAACAGCAGUUUAAAUCCUGCAAAGCUGAAGCGACAUUUGGACACUAAACAUCCGACUUUAAAAGGUAAAAGCGAAUAUUUUAAAAGAAAAUGUAAUGAACUAAAUCAGAAAAAGCAUACCUUUGAAAGAUAUGUUCGUGAUGAUAAUAAAAAUCUACUAAAAGCAUCUUAUUUAGUUAGCUUGCGCAUAGCUAAACAAGGCGAAGCUUAUACUAUUGCUGAAAAAUUAAUUAAACCUUGUACGAAAGACUUAACUACAUGCGUAUUCGGCGAAAAAUUUGCAAGCAAAGUCGAUCUCGUCCCAUUGUCUGACACGACGAUUUCACGACGAAUUGAAGAUAUGUCAUAUUUCUGCGAAGCGGUACUAGUAAAUCGUUUGAAAAAUGCUAAAUGUGGAUUUACUUUGCAAAUGGAUGAGUCCACAGAUGUAGCUGGAUUAGCAAUUUUAUUAGUAUUUGUGAGAUACAUACACGAAUCUUCUUUUGAGGAAGAUAUGCUUUUUUGCAAGGCUCUGCCAACUCAAACAACAGGUGAAGAAAUAUUUAAUUUACUUAAUGCUUAUUUUGAAAAACAUUCAAUUCCUUGGAAUUUAUGCUAUCACAUAUGCACUGAUGGAGCCAAAGCUAUGGUGGGUGUUAUAAAGGGCGUAAUAGCACGUAUAAAAAAGCUGGUUCCAGACAUCAAAGCUAGCCAUUGCUGCCUUCAUCGUCAUGCUCUCGCUGUCAAACGGAUACCAAAUGCUUUGCACGAAGUACUCAAUGACGCCGUUAAGAUGAUUAAUUUCAUCAAAUCCAGACCUCUAAAUGCCAGGGUAUUUGCCCUAUUGUGCGAUGAUUUGGGAAGCUUACAUAAAAAUCUCCUUCUUCAUACCGAAGUAAGAUGGUUAUCGAGGGGAAAGGUCCUAACGCGAUUUUGGGAAUUGCGUGAUGAAAUUCGAAUCUUUUUUAAUGAACGUGAAUUUGCUGGAAAACUUAAUGAUACUAGUUGGCUUCAAAAUCUGGCCUACAUUGCAGAUAUAUUUUCAUACCUGAACGAAGUUAAUCUUUCACUUCAGGGACCAAAUUCUACAAUUUUUAAGGUCAAUAGCAGAAUAAACUCGAUAAAAUCUAAACUCAAGCUUUGGGAGGAAUGUAUCACCAAAAAUAAUACGGAAUGUUUUGCUAAUUUAAACGAUUUUUUGGAAACCAGUAAUACUGCAUUAGACCCGAAUUUAAAAAGCAAUAUUUUGGAACAUUUAAAUGGCUUGAAAAACACUUUUUUGGAAUAUUUUCCUCCUACGUGCAACAAUAUUAGUUGGGUCGAAAAUCCGUUUAAUGAGUGUGGUAAUGUGGAUACCCUCCCAAUUAAAGAAAGGGAGCAACUGAUAGAUAUACGCACUGAUACAACAUUAAAGUCUACUUUUGUACCGGAUGGCAUUGGCCCAUUUUGGAUAAAAUUAAUGGACGAAUUUCCAGAAAUUUCCAAACGUGCCGUAAAAGAAUUGAUGCCUUUCGUGACAACCUACCUUUGUGAGAAAUCGUUUUCUGUUUACGUCGCAACAAAAACCAAGUACAGAAAUAGACUUGACGCUGAGGAUGAUAUGCGUCUCCAAUUAACAACGAUCCAUCCCGAUAUUGAUAAUUUGUGCAAUAAUAAGCAAGCGCAAAAAAGUCAUUAAUUUUUAUUUUUUAUUUUAUAUAUUAUUUUAUUUGGAAUAUUUAUCUUUUUGUUUAAAGUUUGUUUAAAUAAAUGCAAAUUUAAAUCUUA